Long non-coding RNA from Daucus carota subsp. sativus, 4653 nucleotides. RefSeq lists it as uncharacterized. The transcript is spliced from 5 exons. NCBI's taxonomy places the organism in Eukaryota, Viridiplantae, Streptophyta, Magnoliopsida, Apiales, Apiaceae. The record is from RefSeq and is a predicted model, not a curated record.
AUUAGCCACUUAUUUAAUUUAUAUGCGUUUGUUCUCUAAUCACUAAACUCAGCCCCUGUUCUCGUUACUCUGUUUUUAUUUUAUUAACAAAUCGCUUUUCUUCCUUUUCUGAUUUCUAGAGAAAACAAAAACCCCUUUUCGAUUGCAGUUUAUUAACUAUACACGCGCCUACUGUUUCUUCUUUCUUUUAUUUUGUUAACUGCGAGUUUCAUCCUUUGUACUGCUGCGUUUAGUGCAUAGUUUAGUCAGAUUUCGUACCGAGUCCAACCUCCGAGUCGCGUCCUGGGUUUGAGUAGUUAUAUCAGUAGUUGUUCGUUGCUGAUAGUCCUGGUUUUGUCCGAGUUAGCACCGAGUUGUUUCCGAGUUUCAUCUGAGUUGAGUUCUUUGUUUUUAAUGCUGAGUUUUAGUGUGGUUUGCUUUGUCGAGUUCUGCAGAUGGUCUCAGUCGAGUCUUUUGUUUUGGGUUGUAUUUAAUCGAGUCUUUAGAUGAGUUGUGUGUUUCGCUGAGUUUGUGUAUUGUUGGCUGCGUUUUAGUCUAGUUUUAAGACUGGUUUCUUUGAGUUUAUUUCAAAGUUUUCAAUCGAUUGUUGGCUUUUGUUUGUUAGUUUCCUGCUGUGCUUUCUUUUACUGAGUCCCCUGUUUCUUCCCGAGUCCAAAGCUGAGUUCGUUUCUUGAAAGCUUAGUUUGGAUCGGCUUUUUUUGGCUGCGUCGAGUUUGUGGGUCGAGUCUCCUCUGCUUUGUUGAGUCUGUUCUUAGCCAGUAGCUGUGUCGCAAGCCGAGUUUAUUCCGAGUUAAUUCAACGAGUCCAUGUUCUUUUACCGAGUUGUUUUGAUUAGUUCAUGUUUUUCGAGUUGUUGGCUUGCUUCGUUUCUUUUAUUUUUAAGUCUAGCAGUGGAGUAUAACUUUCUGUAGUUUUCUUUUAUUUCCUUUGUAGCGUCUAUGUUAGUUUACUAGGUUCAGUGACCCCGCGUUUAGCUUGGUGUAGGAAUUGUUUUUGUGAGUGUAUUUAGUACAUGUGCCUAGUUUAUUUCAUUUUAUAUUUCUUUUAGAUUAAGUAAAUGGCUGGGUAGUCAUUAGUCAACGUGGUUAUCUUCUGUUGAUAAUAAUAUGUUAUAGGCUAGCUUAGUUUUUAGAGAUAUUAUGCAGAAAGUUUCUUAAUUAUUUGUAACUUUUAAGUCGUGUAUUUGCGAGUUUAAUUUUAGUUAAUUUCUAGUUUAAUUGGUUGUAUUCGAAUUAGUAGUCAAUUUCUCCUGCUCAUUAAUUAGCUAAUAAACCCGAAAUUCUAAAAAUUUGGUUCUAAUCCGCCUAGGUUAAUAAUAAUAGGUUGCGAAAAUAAUUUUAAUCUCGGUGGACGAAUCUUAAAUAUUAAAACGGUGAUCGUGCGCUUGCGAUUUAAAUGUAUUAUUUAGAGCACAUCAGAGCUGAAGCUAAAUACUUAGAGUUUCAGCCUUUUCAAAUAUGUAACUGAAGUAGUAAAGUUAGAGUAAUACAUUAACAGGAGACUUUUCGAGGAAUUUCAAAAUUCCAGAAUUAACUAACACUGAAAUCCUAUCAUUUGAGAGAAAAUAGACAUGGGAGUCUAGGAAUUGAGGAAAUGUAAAAGAGGAGAUUUGAGAGGCUACACGUCAUCCUCUUUGGGAUCCUUUUUAUAUAAAUAUAAUAUAAAGAUAGGUAAAAAAAAUUGGAAAGGAAUGAUAUACACGGCGCAGAGUAUAAAGUUUUCUCCCCUGCAAGAGGAGCAUGAUUGAAAGAUGCAAUUUGGGAGCUUAGCUUCUAACAAAUGCGGAAACAUGUAUGAUUUCAGGCUCGGUGUCGCUCUAUUCUUUUACGUGUCAUAAUUUAAUUUUCCUCUGAGUUGAUGUUGCUAGAGUUUUAGAAUAAGAUGGCAGCCACAGCUACCUUGAGGGUUCUUCCUUUAUGAUUUCGGUUUAACCUAUUGUGUCACAUUAUUCAAGGAGAGUAAGAAGAAAAGAAACAAGGUUUGUUUGAGUUAAUAGACAAAACUAAUUGUGUAUGCAUGACUGCAUGUGCUUGUAUAGUUGUAUGUGUGCCUGAUUGCUUGUGUGUUGCUCUUCAUCCUUAUUCCCUAGCCUGCCAUAGUUUUAAACUUGUGACAACAUUUAAGCUGGAGUAAUUGUGGCAAAAAAGAAAAAAAUUAUAAUUCAGUGAUAGGUUUCUAAACAAAUAAUAAGUUGGGUGACAAAAAAAUCUAUUUUCCCUAUUAUUAAUAUCAUUCUAUAGUAUACAAUUUAUUUUUUCUCAUACAUGCUCCAAAUUAUUUGGCGUUGGGUGUUAAUGGCCCAUCUCAACUCGGACAACUAACUUUUAUAUCCCUCACAUUGAUCAGCUAGCUAGCACCCUGCGACAAUCAUCGAGUUUUGACCUCAUAUACUACGUGAUCAACUUCCCCUAGGUCCAGUGAGAACCCUCCUAAAAAUCAUCGUAAUUUAGGAUCUGAUGCGAGUGCUAGGCUGCUAGUGGACUUUCCAAAGAAAGCCCGUUCCACUUCCACAACCAACAGGGACCAAGUUUUUUGACCUUUUUGGGCAGUUAACAAUUUAGAAGAAAAGAUUUCCUGAGCAUAAAUCAUGUCAUUAAUCUGGGUCAAAAGGUUAAGGCUACUGGAUUUGAAGAAUUGAAUACAACUGGACUUUAUGAACGAAAAAACCCCUUAAGAAUCCAAAUUGAAUACACCCCCCUUAUAUUAUAUACACUAAAGUUGAGUCAUCAAUUAUAAUGCUGAAUCUUAUCUCUUAUCGCAUAAAUUUUGUGGUCUGGUCUCAUGGUCUGAGUAUAUAAGUUGAGUGCUGACUGAAUAAAUUCCCAUAUUUUCUAACUCGUCAUCAACAGAAUAUAUAAUAGUUAAGCAACUCUCUUGACGAAUAUAUUUCUGAAGGAUAAUUAGCAUUAAUUUUUUUGGAGUAGCUGCCUACUACCUUUGAACAAAUACUUUAUGUUCUAGUAGUUGAUUAAAUUUUUUUUAUAUACCUUCUUAUGUUUAUUAAUCUUUCUAAUGUGUUAUACCAUGACUACAUAUUAGUGUUCACCUUCUUGAAAUUGUUCAGAUAUGUUAUGGCAGAGCCACACUGACACCAAGGGGGCAAAUGUUCCUGAAUUUUUAGUCAAGUACCAAAUAUCACUAACAAUAACACUGAUAUUGAGUAGCUGAGGUGGUUUGGCCCAUAAAUGUUGCACAUAAGAUCUAGAAAACAACAUAUUAGUAUAUUGUGUGCUUGUAUAACUUCUUGACGUUUGUGCACAUAAGAGCAACUCCAAUGGUACGCAUCCCCUGAGGAGUGCCAACUAAGUCACAUAAUGAAAAACAUCAUUUUGUAUAUCCUCUCAUUUCCACAUCAUUUUUAGCAUCCAUUUUCCAAAAUAUGCUCCAAUGGUUGGCACCCCUAGAUACCCCUUGUUGGAGUUGCUCUGAGAAUCUCAUUAUCCUCUUGUAAUGGUAUGAUUACUUGAACAACCCGAGCAAGACAGCAUAGUAUUAAAUAAAUACUAUGCAAUUAUAUGCCAUCAGUUAUUGCCACAAAAAUUGACAUCCUUAAUCUUAUUACAGAAGUUACCGUUGUUUUGCUAGCUAUUCAUUUUUACAUGUAGCAUGUGCUGCUGACUGGCUCUAGACGAAGAACCACAUCUGACUGAACUUUCUUAUCAUCUCGUGUGCAUUACAACGGCCUGAAGAUAGAUGGUGAAAUCUUUAGAUAGUAAGAAGACUAUACAAUGACCAGCUGGUGGGAAAAGAAUCAUGACCAAGCUUCAUCUACGAGCUUUAUGGCAUUUGAGAUAGCAUCAGGCUCGCCAGUGAGGAAGCCUUUCAAGUCAAUGGGAGGCACAACAAGUGGAGGUGUCUGUGGCUGAUCAGCAGAAGGCUUUUCGUGGUCAGGCCAUAUGAACUGUGCUGGAAACAGAAGCAUAUCUCAGGGUAAUAAAUUGCAGCACAUCUCAGAUCACUGUGAAAUACUCUAACAAAGUUUCACUAUUCAAGAUUGGGAAAUGUAUGUGUGCGCACUUGAACAGACGUCUGUCUUUCUUUCUACACGGAACAGUGACUUAUUAUACGGAUGGCUCAACAUGACUAAUGUCUGGGGGCAACCAACCAUGGAUAUACAAGGACGAUCACCCUAUCAGUUUGAUAAGAAUCUGUGUCAGCUGUCUUUGAAUUCUUGCGAAAAAGUAUCACUCAUCGGAAGAAAUUUAACAAUGCAAUUUGACAGUUGCGGUCUAUAAUAAGUCCUUGAAACAUAAGAGACAAGAAGUUUGAAAGUAGGAGGGAAAAAAGAAGUAAAUAUGAUUGCUAAUGGAUUCAGGAAGAUUAUGUUGUCCAAAGGGAUUCAGAAUAUAUAUUUGUUAGGGCAUAACUCAUCUUAUCACACUAGUACAUCAUGCCUCGAGACAGAUGAGAACAUUGCCUUGCUUCAGGCCCCCGAACAAACAAAUAAAGGACUCCGAAUCUCAGUUUUCUUGGCUGCACAUACUUUAUUUCAUUAGGGUAACCACUGUACAGAAUGAAGCUGUAAAAUAUUCAGGACAAAUUUUAUUAUACUUCUACUUCUUAUUUGUUAAAGAAUUCCAGGAAGAAGUAAAUAAUCUAUCUGUGUAAAACUGGCCAGAGUUUAUAAAACGUUUCUUACUUUUAUUUGGAAAA